UACGAAGGGUGCUAGCGUUACUCGGAAUUACUGGGCGUAAAGCGUGCGUAGGUGGUUUGUUAAGUCUGUUGUGAAAGCCCCGGGCUCAACCUGGGAAUGGCAAUGGAUACUGGCAAGCUAGAGUGCGGUAGAGGGGUGUGAAAUUCCCGGUGUAGCGGUGAAAUGCGUAGAGAUCGGGAGGAACACCAGUGGCGAAGGCGGCACCCUGGACCAGCACUGACACUGAGGCACGAAAGCGUGGGGAGCAAACAGG
RNAcentral lists this ribosomal RNA (253 nucleotides) under uncultured bacterium. Its description in RNAcentral is "partial 16S ribosomal RNA". It matches the Rfam family "Bacterial small subunit ribosomal RNA", at positions 524 to 776 of the family's 1533-position model. The record is from RNAcentral.